GAGUUAGUAACUUAAUUGGUAAAGGGCCUUCUUGUCGAGAAGGAGGAUGCCGGAUCGUAGCCGGUCUAACUCG
RNAcentral lists this transfer RNA (73 nucleotides) under Letharia columbiana. Lineage: Eukaryota; Fungi; Ascomycota; Lecanoromycetes; Lecanorales; Parmeliaceae. RNAcentral also lists the same sequence under 1 other name. The record is from Rfam by way of RNAcentral.